GUAGCGUAAUCACUUGUCUUUUAAAUAAAGACCCGUAUGAAAGGCAAAACGAAAGUUCAACUGUCUCUUUAAUCUAGUCAGUGAAAUUAAUUUUUCCGUGCAAAAGCGGAAAUAACUCUAUAAGACGAGAAGACCCUAUGGAGCUUUAAAUAAAAAUUAACCAUACUUUAACUACUGACCUAAGGGUAAAGAAUAAAAAUGUAUGACCAUAAUUUUAAUUUUCGGUUGGGGCGACCACGGAAGAAAACCCAUCCUCCGCGAUAGAAAAUCUAGAACAACAGUUCAAAACUUAAAACAUUUGUUAUAAAUGACCCACUAAGUGAUCAACGAACCAAGUUACCCUAGGGAUAACAGCGCAAUCCUUUCUAAGAGUUCAUAUCGACGAAUGGGUUUACGACCUCGAUGUUGGAUCAGGACACCCCAAUGGUGCAGCCGCUAUUAAAGGUUCGUUUGUUCAACGAUUAAAGUCCUACGUGAUCUGAGUUCAGACCGGACGUCGCCUGUUUAUCAAAAACAUAACGUGA
RNAcentral lists this ribosomal RNA (524 nucleotides) under Lissotriton vulgaris (common newt). RNAcentral describes it as "partial 16S ribosomal RNA". It matches the Rfam family "Bacterial large subunit ribosomal RNA", at positions 1956 to 2626 of the family's 2925-position model. The record is from RNAcentral. Lineage: Eukaryota; Metazoa; Chordata; Amphibia; Caudata; Salamandridae.